RNAcentral lists this ribosomal RNA (207 nucleotides) under uncultured bacterium. RNAcentral's name for it is "partial 16S ribosomal RNA". It matches the Rfam family "Bacterial small subunit ribosomal RNA", at positions 1293 to 1500 of the family's 1533-position model. The record is from RNAcentral.
UCGGAUUGUAGUCUGCAAUCGACUACAUGAAGCUGGAAUCGCUAGUAAUCGCGAAUCAGAAUGUCGCGGUGAAUACGUUCCCGGGUCUUGUACACACCGCCCGUCACACCAUGGGAGCCGGAAACGCCCGAAGCCAGUGGCCUGACCGUAAGGAGGGAGCUGUCGAAGGCGGGUCCGGUGACCGGGGUGAAGUCGUAACAAGGUAUC